AGCGAGGUAUAGAGUUCCUACGUGACUUUAAAGAAUUGUAGGAACUUAAUACCGUGCUCU
RNAcentral lists this microRNA precursor (60 nucleotides) under Bactrocera dorsalis (oriental fruit fly). RNAcentral's name for it is "microRNA bdo-mir-276b precursor". Its record names the gene bdo-mir-276b. It matches the Rfam family "mir-276 microRNA precursor family", at positions 17 to 78 of the family's 90-position model. Lineage: Eukaryota; Metazoa; Arthropoda; Insecta; Diptera; Tephritidae. The record is from miRBase by way of RNAcentral.